RNAcentral lists this ribosomal RNA (274 nucleotides) under uncultured bacterium. RNAcentral's name for it is "partial 16S ribosomal RNA". It matches the Rfam family "Bacterial small subunit ribosomal RNA", at positions 523 to 796 of the family's 1533-position model. The record is from RNAcentral.
AUACGGAGGGAGCGAGCGUUAAUCGGAAUUACUGGGCGUAAAGCGCGCGUAGGCGGCUUUGUAAGUCGGAUGUGAAAGCCCUGGGCUCAACCUGGGAAUUGCAUUCGAUACUGCAGAGCUAGAGUAUGGUAGAGGGAAGCGGAAUUUCCGGUGUAGCGGUGAAAUGCGUAGAUAUCGGAAGGAACACCAGUGGCGAAGGCGGCUUUCUGGCCCAAUACUGACGCUCAGGUGCGAAAGCGUGGGUAGCGAACAGGAUUAGAAACCCCAGUAGUCC